RNAcentral lists this ribosomal RNA (776 nucleotides) under uncultured Neocallimastigales. RNAcentral describes it as "partial large subunit ribosomal RNA". It matches the Rfam family "Eukaryotic large subunit ribosomal RNA", at positions 23 to 635 of the family's 3401-position model. The record is from RNAcentral. Lineage: Eukaryota; Fungi; Neocallimastigomycota; Neocallimastigomycetes; Neocallimastigales.
AGAGAGAGACAUGCGCGCAUAUCAAUAAGCGGAGGAAAAGAAACUAACUAGGAUUCCCUUAGUAACGGCGAGUGAAGCGGGAAGAGCUCAAAUUUGAAAUCUUCAAGGUUCUACCUUGACGAAUUGUAGUUUAUAGAAGUGUUUUCUGUUGGAGUGUGGCUAAAAGUUCUUUGGAAUAGGACAUCAUAGAGGGUGAGAAUCCCGUAUUUGGUACAUAUCUCCUAGCUUUGUGAUACACUUUCAACGAGUCGGAUGUUUGGGAAUGCAGUCCAAAAUGGGUGGUAAAUUUCAUCUAAAGCUAAAUACUGGCGAGAGACCGAUAGCGGACAAGUACCGUGAGGGAAAGAUGAAAAGAACUUUGAAAAGAGAGUUAAACAGUACGUGAAAUUGUCGAAAGGGAAGCGUUUGACACCAGUGUUGUUUUCUCGAAAAUCAAUUAAGAAUGCUGUAUUUUGAGGAUUGUAUUGACUUUAUCAGGCUUUCUGCACUCUUUCUAUGGAACUUUUUAAUGCACUUUUCGGUUAACAAGUCAACAUCAAUUUCUUUUGUUGUAAAAGAGUCAUUGGAAGGUGGCUUUCUUUUCGGAGAAAGUGUUUAUAGCCUUUGCCUCUGCAAUCGGAGAGAUUGAGGUCUGCAGCGUAGAUCCUUCGGGGUUAGAUAGCAUUUGUGCUAAGUUAUAGCCUUUCAUAGACAACUUGUUGACUAUGAUCAGUCAUGUAGCUUACUCGCUUAUGCUAUUUUACCUACGCUAGGAUGUUGACAGCAGUAUAGACUGU